CCAUGUCCUAUUGCAAAAGUUUCAAGUGUUGGUAUUAUCAGUGCCUUUCAGAAAUUUCCUGAUGUUUCAAGUGUUGGUAUUAUUGAUUCCUAUUAACCAAAAGCCAUAGGAUCAAAACCCACAGAAAGCCAAGAAUGUUACAACAAUGAAAAACAAGCUACAAGAAAAACAAGACAGAGCAUUAAAAGGAUCGGAGGGGGUGGGGAAGGUGAUGAACAAAAAAAUAUACAGAGACAGACCCAAUACUAAAGUCUCUAAUUAAGGCCAAACUGAGUCGACAGAAACCCUAGACUCUAGCUGCUGCAGAAGAUCUUCCACAGCUACCAUCACCUCAUUUUCUUGUGCUUGGCCAUUGCAUUUGUAGUUGCUUCCAUUUCUGGUCAGUGGGUUUAUGGCAGUAGAAGAAUUAGAACAAGAAGAAGGAGGAAGUGUUGCCCACCACAAAUUACUUGGAUCUGUGUUAUGGGGCCGACCUCCAAGUACAGACAAGAGAAGAACAAGAGAAGCCAUAGAAAUUUUGAUGGAAUUGAGAGAGAAAGAAGAAGGCAAGGCAAUUGAUGCAGUUGAAGUUGAAGUUGAAGAUAGCGAGAUGACUUGUUUUGGGUUUUAUAUAAACUAGUAUGCCGGGGUGGCGGG
RNAcentral lists this long non-coding RNA (636 nucleotides) under Prunus persica (peach). RNAcentral describes it as "long non-coding RNA (PPER_LNC006792)". Lineage: Eukaryota; Viridiplantae; Streptophyta; Magnoliopsida; Rosales; Rosaceae. The record is from RNAcentral.